GGCACAACAUGCAAGUGGUGGGGAACAUGAGAGCAGGGAUGGAGGUGGGGAGUGGCAGGGCUGCGAGUUCUUGGCUAGGGUUGGGAGCAGCCGAAGACGGGCGGACGCGGCCGAGGUUCAAAAGCGAGUUGGAGAAAGGCUUCGGGUCCGAAACACCGUGCAUGCAUCGGCGCGCCGCCGUACGAGGGAAGCGCGGAGAGAGCUUCAAAACAGGUCAGGUUUUAAUAGAGGAGAUAACGAGUGCGCCAAACCUGUGACAUCAUGUGCGAUUCCCAUCCAUAUAAGAGCAGAGCAAGAAAACACUGGGCCUGCCUA
RNAcentral lists this unclassified non-coding RNA (315 nucleotides) under Zea mays. RNAcentral's name for it is "misc RNA Zm00001eb135630". The record is from RNAcentral. Lineage: Eukaryota; Viridiplantae; Streptophyta; Magnoliopsida; Poales; Poaceae.